UUGAAAGGGAAACGAUUGAAGUCAGUCGUACCGACGAGAAAUCAACUUUUUGAGUGCUUGCUUGUGGGCGUGCGUGAGCUGUCAAAGGCCUAGCUGUUUGCAUGUUUGUGCUUUUUUGGUGUACUUUUUCGUAUGGUAGGCCAACGUCAGUUUCGAUCACCAUAAAAUGAUCGGAGGAAUGUAGCUUCGAUCUCGUAUUGAAGUGUUAUAGCCUUUGGUAGAUGUGGUGAUCGAAACUGAGGAUUGCAACGAAUACCCUUUGGGCUAUCCGUCUGACCUCUGGAAGUUGCUUAGGUGCCGAAAGCUUGCUUAUGGUAUUUAACACGACGGUCAAAAGGUUAGAACGUGAUUACAUUCGUUAAGGAUGUUGACGUA
RNAcentral lists this ribosomal RNA (375 nucleotides) under uncultured Glomeromycotina. Its description in RNAcentral is "LSU rRNA". The record is from RNAcentral. Lineage: Eukaryota; Fungi; Glomeromycota.